GGACAAACAAGAGGAGGAGCCCCAGCCUGCUCCUCAGGGAGACAAGGAGAACGAUCAAGAUCAAGAGGUCACCCAUUCACAGCAGGUCUCUGAGGAGACAGUGUUGCAAGAUGAGGAGUCAUCUCUCUCAGAACCCCAUGAUCCCAGCCAAGUGGAGACAGUGUAGAAAGACUGCGUCCAUCAUCUCCAUCUGAGGUUUUUAGCUCCAACACUGUGACCUGGCUGCCUACUAGAAUGCCUUCAUCUCAUCUUGACACUGAAAUGGCCUUCUUGUCCGACAAGAGCAUUGUGUACACCCUCACCCUCGGCGCUGCGUUGACUACUAAGAGUGCUGUUCCACUGCCAAAGGGAGGUGCCCCUUUAACUUGUGGGGCAACUUCCACUUCGAAUCCCUCCCCAGCCUUCCCAAACUGACUUCCCACUACCCCAUCUGUCCUCCAUCCCCAAACCCAUCCUCUUAUAGGGUUUCUACUAGUUAGUCUUCUUGUAGCGGCUUGUCCUUCUAUUCUAUUCUCCCUAUGCUUUUCUCAUUGGCAGACAUUAUGCAAUUCUGUCGUGCAUACUAGAACUUCUAAAAUGUCCAUAGUGAAUACAGUUGAGACAUUUUUUGCAUACUGAACAAAUCUUGUUUGUUUACGGGCGAGCUAUUAAGGAAAUGAAUGUAAGCGUUUAUGUUUAACCUAACGUAGACUUAGAAGGGUUAUUGUCCCAACCUGUUCUGUUGCAUUUAAACUUACACCAAAAUAAACUGCGUAUCUGAUUGUCGUGGUGAGGCGACAGCUGUUUUAGAACUGGACAUCACUGUCUCUGGCUCAAGAACUGUUUUGAUUUUCAGAUGAGAUCAAUCAGCCUUUCUUUUUUUAAACUGUAACGACAUUGUGCCCUGUCUCAUUGCUUUUGUACACACUGCAACCAUAACCCAUAGAGCUCUUCAAUGAAGAGUGACUCUACACCACAUGACAUGAUAGACCAGUGACCUAUUAUACGUUACAUUGGUUCUACGCUGGAGGGGAAGAGUUGCCUUCUUUAGAUGUGUGUUAGUCCUCUGAUCAAUCCGAUGUAUAGCUCCCAUUUCCAGGUAAUUUCAGGAAGCAAUAAAGGCACGGAUUGAGUUGAAGUGUUAGUUGGUGAAUUUGAUAAACUUUAAAGAUUGAUAUAGGGAUAUAGAACAAACAAAAAAAACGAUAGGUAGAGCAAUAUUGUUGUACAAACAGCUCAGUGGUGUAGUGGAGCUACCUGUA
Molecule: long non-coding RNA, 1241 nt
Organism: Cottoperca gobio
Lineage: Eukaryota; Metazoa; Chordata; Actinopteri; Perciformes; Bovichtidae
Exons: 2
Source: RefSeq, a predicted model, not a curated record